GUGCUCAUGUCAGCAGUCCCUACUGUGAAUUUGAACCAUAUAGAGAUUAGCAUGGCCUUUGUGCAAGAACAUCAUGAAAAUUGGCUGAGGUUUUCCAUAAUUUU
This 104-nucleotide small nuclear RNA is filed under the name Nannospalax galili (Upper Galilee mountains blind mole rat). The record is from RNAcentral. Lineage: Eukaryota; Metazoa; Chordata; Mammalia; Rodentia; Spalacidae.